This 379-nucleotide ribosomal RNA is filed under the name uncultured eukaryote. Its description in RNAcentral is "partial 18S ribosomal RNA". It matches the Rfam family "Eukaryotic small subunit ribosomal RNA", at positions 592 to 976 of the family's 1831-position model. The record is from RNAcentral.
CAAUAGCGUAUAUUUAAGUUGUUGCAGUUAAAAAGCUCGUAGUUGGAUUUCGGAUGGGACUUGCCGGUCCGUCGUUUCGAUGUGCACUGGCCAGUCCUAUCUUGUUGUCGGGGACUAGCUCCUGGGCUUCACUGUCCGGGACUAGGAGCUGACGAGGUUACUUUGAGUAAAUUAGAGUGUUCAAAGCAAGCCUACGCUCUGAAUACAUUAGCAUGGAAUAACACGAUAGGACUCUGGCUUAUCUUGUUGGUCUGUGAGACCAGAGUAAUGAUUAAGAGGGACAGUCGGGGGCAUUCGUAUUUUAUUGUCAGAGGUGAAAUUCUUGGAUUUAUGAAAGACGAACUUCUGCGAAAGCAUUUGUCAAGGAUGUUUUCAUUAA